CUACUGAACAAGAGGUGGCUGCGCUUCUCCUUCCCUCUCACCCCACCACUUGCCUGCUUGAUCCUGUCCCAUCUCACCUAUCAGAUCUCUCUCCCCUUGUCUUGUGCCUUCCUUAGCACACAUCUUCAACUGCUCUCUCUCUUCUGGCAUUGUCCCUGCUGACCUUAAACAUGCCACUGUAGUACCUAUCCUAAAAGAAACAUCUCUCGACCUGUCCUCCCCCUCUAACUAUCAUCCUAUAUCCCUGCUCCCUUUUCCCGCAAAGCUUCUUGAAAGACUUAUCUUUACCCGUAUGUCUCACUUUCU
Non-coding RNA from Pelobates cultripes (western spadefoot toad), 306 nucleotides. NCBI's taxonomy places the organism in Eukaryota, Metazoa, Chordata, Amphibia, Anura, Pelobatidae. The record is from the annotation of a GenBank genome assembly.